RNAcentral lists this ribosomal RNA (564 nucleotides) under uncultured Glomeromycotina. Its description in RNAcentral is "SSU rRNA". It matches the Rfam family "Eukaryotic small subunit ribosomal RNA", at positions 548 to 1114 of the family's 1831-position model. The record is from RNAcentral. Lineage: Eukaryota; Fungi; Glomeromycota.
UUGGAGGGCAAGUCUGGUGCCAGCAGCCGCGGUAAUUCCAGCUCCAAUAGCGUAUAUUAAAGUUGUCGCAGUUAAAAAGCUCGUAGUUGAAUUUCGGGAUCAAAUUGUCGGUCGUGCCUCGGUACGCACUGGUAUUAUUGGUUCCUACCUUCUGAAGAACCGCGAUGUCAUUAAUUUGGUGUCGUGGGGAAUCAGGACUGUUACUUUGAAAAAAUUAGAGUGUUUAAAGCAGGCUUACGCUUGAAUACAUUAGCAUGGAAUAAUGAAAUAGGACGUUUGAUUCUAUUUUGUUGGUUUCUAGGAUUGACGUAAUGAUUAAUAGGGAUAGUUGGGGGCAUUAGUAUUCAAUUGUCAGAGGUGAAAUUCUUGGAUUUAUUGAAGACUAACUACUGCGAAAGCAUUUGCCAAGGAUGUUUUCAUUAAUCAAGAACGAAAGUUAGGGGAUCGAAGACGAUCAGAUACCGUCGUAGUCUUAACCAUAAACUAUGCCGACUAGGAAUCAGACGAUGUUAAUUCUUUAAUGACUCGUUUGGCACCUUACGGGAAACCAAAGUGUUUGGGUUC